This 253-nucleotide ribosomal RNA is filed under the name uncultured bacterium. RNAcentral describes it as "partial 16S ribosomal RNA". It matches the Rfam family "Bacterial small subunit ribosomal RNA", at positions 524 to 776 of the family's 1533-position model. The record is from RNAcentral.
UACGGGGGGGGUAAGCGUUGUUCGGAAUUACUGGGCGUAAAGGGCUCGUAGGCGGCCAACUAAGUCAUACGUGAAAUCCCUCAGCUUAACUGGGGAACUGCGUGUGAUACUGGAUGGCUUGGAUUUGGGAGAGGGAUGCGGAAUUCCAGGUGUAGCGGUGAAAUGCGUAGAUAUCUGGAGGAACACCGGUGGCGAAGGCGGCGUUCUGGACUGUUACUGACACUGAGGAACGAAAGCCAGGGGAGCAAACGGG